GAGAGGAGCUGUCCUUAGUACGAGAGGACCGGGAUGGACAUACCUCUGGUGUACCAGUUGUCGUGCCAACGGCAUAGCUGGGUAGCUAUGUGUGGACGGGAUAAGUGCUGAAAGCAUCUAAGCAUGAAGCCCCCCUCAAGAUGAGAUUUCCCAACUUCGGUUAUAAGAUCCCUCAAAGAUGAUGAGGUUAAUAGGUUCGAGGUGGAAGCAUGGUGACAUGUGGAGCUGACGAAUACUAAUCGAUCGAAGACUUAAUCAAAA
RNAcentral lists this ribosomal RNA (261 nucleotides) under Staphylococcus aureus. RNAcentral describes it as "partial 23S ribosomal RNA". It matches the Rfam family "Bacterial large subunit ribosomal RNA", at positions 2664 to 2925 of the family's 2925-position model. Lineage: Bacteria; Bacillati; Bacillota; Bacilli; Caryophanales; Staphylococcaceae. The record is from RNAcentral.